Picea glauca (white spruce) is the source of this 639-nucleotide non-coding RNA. The record is from Rfam. NCBI's taxonomy places the organism in Eukaryota, Viridiplantae, Streptophyta, Pinopsida, Pinales, Pinaceae.
ACCUUGUCAAAAAAAGUACAGACAAGGGGAAUCCGACUACUUAAUUAAAACAAAGCGUUGUGAUUGUCCCUGUAGAUGCUAACACAAUGUAAUUUAUGCCUAGUGCUCUACAUGUCAAAGUGAAUAAAUUCAACCGAGCGCGGGUAAACAAUGUGAGUAACUAUGACUCUCUUAAGGUAGUCAGAUGCCUCGUCAUCUAAUUUGUGGCGUGCAUGAAUGGAUUAACAAGAUUCCCACUCUCCCAAGCUACUAUCUAGAGAAACCACAACCAAGGGAACGAGCUUGGAAAAAUUAGCGGGGAAAGAAGACCUUGUUGAGCUUGACUCUUGUCCAACUUUGUGAAAUGACUUGAGAGGUGUAGAAUAAGUGAGAGUUGUUUUCAGCGCAAGUGAAAUACCACUACUUUUAAUGUUAUUUUACUUAUUUCAUGGGGAAAAGAUGGGGCAUUGCACAUAUGUUAAAAUAUAACGUGCAUUUCCUCAAAGUGUUGUCAUUGAUGGCAAUGGUCAAGAGCUCAUUCUUCAUGCACUUGAUGGCAAUGAGUUUAGGAAACAAGCACAAAUUGAAAAACUUUCAAUGUUGGAAAAUGGUAUAUGGUUGAUAUGCAUGAUUUAUUCCCCCCACUUGACCAUAGAAAGU